Molecule: long non-coding RNA, 1052 nt
Organism: Anguilla rostrata (American eel)
Lineage: Eukaryota; Metazoa; Chordata; Actinopteri; Anguilliformes; Anguillidae
Exons: 3
Source: RefSeq, a predicted model, not a curated record
AGUACCUACAUUUUCGAUGGAGCCUCAAAUAAAACCAUGACAAAUGGUGUCAACAUAAUGGACAGAAGUUGAAAUGGAUUACAUAUCAUCAUCCCAGUCUGCCUGUUUGUCUGUCUGGCUUAAAUCUGCUGAAAAACAUAGACAGUGCUAUCCAGUGUAGUCAAAAAGGAUCCAAUGUUUAAAGUAUCAGACCAGCCCCAUCGGUGACCCCUCCACUCCACAGGAAGUCUCCUGUGAAAAAUAUGACCCUCAUCGUGACAACAGGCGGAGGCAACUCAGAUCUGUGAGUUGCUGCUGGUUCCCAUAGUUCCUGGCUUGGCAUUCCAUGACAUUUGCUCCAUUUCAUUUUCUUUCACACCUGGGUCCAAAGACUAAGAUAACAGCACAAAAAUAUAUCUCACCUGUGAUUAUUUGGUAGAAGAAAGAGUAAGUAACCUUGGUGGUGAAGCAAGGUGGCACCUGGCUUUAACACUUACAGCUGAAACUGAAUCCAAGUGAUCACUUCACCAAUAUUAUGGCUGAGAUGUAAUCAAAUCCUUAAAGUUAGUUUACUUUCUAAGUUUUUAGAAACCAUUAUUUCAGUUUCAGUGUAUGUUUUAAAUUUAGUUUUUGUGUGCAUUGAAAGAUAUAGUGAUGCCAGCCACCUGCCAGCUUUAUGCUGGCUAGGGGCAUCAGCAAGUUUGUAGCUUUUAAUGUAAUAAAAUAAACUAUGAGUCAUUUCCAGCAGCAUGUACGGCAAUGCUAUGUUUUCUGACGCUAUGCACACAAAGAUAUACAUUUUAUGGUACUUAUUAACAAUCACAACCUAUGCCAGCACUUGUAUGUGUCACAAGCUCUUUAUUCCCAAGAUUAAUCAGGACCAGACAGACUGUAUUUCACUUUAAAAUCAGAACCAACCAAGUGUCCAGGUGAAAUGACUUAACUGUGUAACCAAUUGCUUUGAUUGAUUAUGUGCUGAGGAACCAUGAAAUACAGCAGAACCUGCGGCUCUCCAGGACCAGGGUUGCAGACCCCUGAUAAAGGAAGCCAUGCCACACCUUACACUGAGUGCA